GUUUUGCAAAUAGGCAUUGAAUGAACGCUAAAAUGCCUCGGAUCCUCGGCGCAUAUUUGGAAUCGGACCUUUAGCUGUAGAAUUGUGGCGGGGGGACUUUCUUGGCUGCCGUAUGAUGUUGAGCGAGGAAAGGUGAAGUCGAGAAAUUACGUAUGGUAUAGACAAUUAGACAUGAUGUUGGCCCUGCUAAAUUUACAGACGCUAAACAAUAAACGUGACGAAACUGGAGAAUUUUUCGGAAUUCCGUUGCCGAUUGCGCAUGCUCAGCGUUUUUCCUUUUCUCCUUGCCCC
Molecule: unclassified non-coding RNA, 291 nt
Filed under: Hevea brasiliensis (rubber tree)
Lineage: Eukaryota; Viridiplantae; Streptophyta; Magnoliopsida; Malpighiales; Euphorbiaceae
Source: RNAcentral